This 410-nucleotide ribosomal RNA is filed under the name Hyperolius viridiflavus (common reed frog). RNAcentral's name for it is "partial 16S ribosomal RNA". It matches the Rfam family "Bacterial large subunit ribosomal RNA", at positions 1958 to 2537 of the family's 2925-position model. Lineage: Eukaryota; Metazoa; Chordata; Amphibia; Anura; Hyperoliidae. The record is from RNAcentral.
AGCAUAAUCAAUUGUUCUUUAAAUAAGGACUAGUAUGAACGGCAUCACGAGGGUUUAACUGUCUCCCUAAUUUAAUUAAUGAAAUUGAUCUUCCCGUGAAGAAGCGGGAAUAUAUUUAUAAGACGAAAAGACCCCAUGGAGCUUUAAAUUUAUUCUCAAUUACCAAACCCAAAACAUAUACCUGGUAAAAGUGACUAUAAUUUUCGGUUGGGGCGACCCUGGAGAAAAAUUAAUCCUCCAAGCUGAAUAGAUUAAAAAUCUAAUAUUAGAGUGACAACUCAAAUAAUCAAAACCUUGACAAAAUGACCCAGAACAUAUCUGAUCAACGAACCAAGUUACCCUGGGGAUAACAGCGCAAUCCAUUUCAAGAGCCCUUAUCGACAAAUGGGUUUACGACCUCGAUGUUGGAU